Molecule: unclassified non-coding RNA, 433 nt
Filed under: soil metagenome
Description: partial contains 5.8S ribosomal RNA, internal transcribed spacer 2, and large subunit ribosomal RNA
Rfam family: 5.8S ribosomal RNA (bases 1-120)
Source: RNAcentral
GAUGAAGAACGCAGUGAAAUGCGAUACGUAAUGUGAAUUGCAGAAUUCAGUGAAUCAUCGAAUCUUUGAACGCAUAUUGCGCCCUCUGGUAUUCCGGAGAGCAUGCUUGUUUGAGUAUCAGUAAACACCUCAACUUCCAUAUCUUUUUUGAAAUGGGAGUUGGACUUGAGUGAUCCCAACGCUUUUCCUCACCGAAAAGUGGCGGGUUACUUGAAAUGCAGGUGCAGCUGGACUUUUCUCUGAGCUAUAAGCAUAUCUAUUUAGUCUGCCUAAAAAACAGAUUAUUACCUUUGCUGCAGCUAACAUAAAGGAGAUUAGUUCUUGUGCUGACUGAUGCAGGAUUCACAAAGACAGGCUUCGGCCGACUUUGUAAACUCGAUCUCAAAUCAAGUAAGACUACCCGCUGAACUUAAGCAUAUCAAUAAGCGGAGGA